AGAACGAACGCUGGCGGCAGGCUUAACACAUGCAAGUCGAGCGCCCCGCAAGGGGAGCGGCAGACGGGUGAGUAACGCGUGGGAAUCUACCCAUCACUACGGAACAACUCCGGGAAACUGGAGCUAAUACCGUAUACGUCCUUCGGGAGAAAGAUUUAUCGGUGAUGGAUGAGCCCGCGUUGGAUUAGCUAGUUGGUGGGUAAUGGCCUACCAAGGCGACGAUCCAUAGCUGGUCUGAGAGGAUGAUCAGCCACAUUGGGACUGAGACACGGCCCAAACUCCUACAGGAGGCAGCAGUGGGGAAUAUUGGACAAUGGGCGAAAGCCUGAUCCAGCCAUGCCGCGUGAGUGAUGAAGGCCCUAGGUUGUAAAGCUCUUUCAACGGUGAAGAUAAUGAACGGUAACCGUAGAAGAAGCCCCGGCUAAACUUCGUAGCCAAGCAGCCGC
Molecule: ribosomal RNA, 446 nt
Filed under: uncultured soil bacterium
Lineage: Bacteria
Description: bacterial SSU rRNA
Rfam family: Bacterial small subunit ribosomal RNA
Source: RNAcentral